UGGAGGGUGUGGUGAAGGCCGCCUGGCCUCCCGGGGCCCCCGGCCCCGAGACGUCGGAGGGCGCCGCUUCGUCCGCGGCGCCCUCCGG
Molecule: transfer RNA, 88 nt
Filed under: Nocardiopsis terrae
Lineage: Bacteria; Bacillati; Actinomycetota; Actinomycetes; Streptosporangiales; Nocardiopsidaceae
Description: tRNA-Gly
Source: RNAcentral